Long non-coding RNA from Mus musculus (house mouse), 724 nucleotides. RefSeq annotates it as predicted gene, 51475. The transcript has 3 exons. Lineage: Eukaryota; Metazoa; Chordata; Mammalia; Rodentia; Muridae. The record is from RefSeq and is a predicted model, not a curated record.
UUCUGUUCUCUAGUUUCUCAGUUCUGGGCUGUGGUGGGACGUGUUGUGGGUGAAUGGUUAGAAACACCGUGAUUGGACUACUGCUGUGGACUGGCUGUAGCUCGAACGAGUAUCUGGGGAAGCGAUGCUAAUGUAUGUACUCCCUACAACCCAAGAAGGUAUGAGCCAUCUGAGGGUUCUGGCCCCCAGCCCCAGUGCUGGCUGAAACGAGUAAUGCCAUUUAUUAAUCUAGCACAAUAGCAUCACCUAGGACCUGGCUGGCAAGAAGCCAGGAUCUGGGCUCCAGAAGCAGGCAGGGAAUUACUCAACCCGGGUCCUGCAGCCCUCUCACUCCCAACCCUUCACUCUCUUGGAGAGGUGAACAAUCUAGCUGGCAGGUGGCUUGUUUGUUUCUGACUCACCGCACCCCCCCCCCAACCUUAGUGGCCAGGUGGCCCGUUCCCUGUUCUCACUGUGACUUGUCCUGGGAUCAGCCUCUUGUGGUUGUGUUUUCGAACACACCACUCAUCAUCUUGCCUCUGGGAAUCCCGGCACACCUUUUAGACAUGCUCGAACAGAGAGGCUGCCAAACCAGCGUAUGGUCACACAGCAGAGCCAGUGAGAUGACGCCGCACCUGCUACGGAGUCUGACACACCUGAGCUUGAUCCUUGGGACCCACGACCUGGAAGGAGAGAACCAACACGCAUGCACGCGAAGGAAAGAACUAAAGGUGGAUCUGGGGGU